Molecule: long non-coding RNA, 908 nt
Organism: Arabidopsis lyrata subsp. lyrata
Lineage: Eukaryota; Viridiplantae; Streptophyta; Magnoliopsida; Brassicales; Brassicaceae
Exons: 3
Source: RefSeq, a predicted model, not a curated record
AACUCUAAUCAUCCUUACCAACUUUCUUUUAAUAAGAAGACAACUAUGGCUUACUACAAAAAGAAAUACACUUCCGAAUUCCUGCAGUGUCUUGAUUUUCCAAGGAUCAAUAAUCCAUCAGAAGAAGAGAAGCAAUUCGUUGUUGAUGUUGUUGGAGUGGUUAGGAGUGUCUCUCCUAUUGGAAGACUACUUGAAGGAGGCAGUGAUUUGGAUUCAAGCUAUGUUACUUUCACAUUAAAGGACCUUGCGUAAGUUUUAUUGGAAAAUCAAUAUAGUCUACGUCUAUAUGAGUUGUAUUAGUUAACAGAUUUUCAAAAGUGUCAUUAUAUUUUUAUUAUGUAUCAUUACAUGUAGUGGCCAUUCCAUUAAUUGUGUUGCAAAAGGAAGUUUCUGUGAAGAAUUUGUUAGGAAGUAUUCUACAAGAAUAAGUGAUGUGAAUUAUCACAAUCAACCAAUCAUGGUUGUUCUGCGUUUUUGGAGGAUAUCAGAGUUUGGAGGUAAACCUUGCUUGAUUACGAAAGGAGGUUGUCCAAGAAUGUUCAUCGAUGAAAAUUUCGCUGACAUUAACAGAGACUGCUACAUGUAUUUCCACAAUCUAUAUGAAAUUUAAAUUGGUUUAUUUAUACACAAGUUUUUAUAUUCUUAUGUUAGUUAUAUUUAUUUUCGCAGCUGCUUUUUCACUGCUGGAAAUAAAGAAACAACAUCCUCAGAUAAUGACAAUGUUUCUGAUGAAGAGGGUGAUUCUAACUAAGAUUUGCAGCUGUGUGGAUGGCAUCAAGAAAAUUCCACCUAUGUUAUGAUCUAUCUUGGACUUCCUUUAAUGCUUUGUUUUGUUAACUUUUUUAAGCAAUGUGCUAUUCCCGUAUCUGUAAAAUUAGACUCUUAGGUUCAGUUGUUUUUUAUUUUGC